UGAGGCGUUAAUAACAACUCGUGAUUGGGAAUAUGGAAUUGGAAAAGAAGAUAUGGAUGAGGACAAUGUGAUUGUUGAAGAAGAUGUAUUAGGAUUUGAACCUGACGCAGUGGAGGAUGGGGCAGUGGAGGAUGUGGAGGAAGUAAGUUCUUAUGCGUCUAGUUAGUAUGCGUACUUCUUCAAUAUAAAGCGGGGAAGUGGUUAUUAAUAUGGUACAGUCUCGGAGGUUUAUUUUCAUUGUUGGAAACUAUGUUUAUUUUCAUUGUUGGAAACUUGGAAAUAUCAUCAUGAUUCAUGAACUGUAA
Long non-coding RNA from Papaver somniferum (opium poppy), 305 nucleotides. RefSeq lists it as uncharacterized. The record is from RefSeq and is a predicted model, not a curated record. Lineage: Eukaryota; Viridiplantae; Streptophyta; Magnoliopsida; Ranunculales; Papaveraceae. The transcript has 3 exons.